GUUUCCCAGCAACGCACGUGUGGCGUGCAGGGGUGCCUGACCCCAAGGAGUGGACCAACAAGAAGACUACCACUGUUUCCGUCGCCCUACUAUCUGUGCUCGCAGAGACACCGCCUGUGUUCGCGUGAAAGCAAUGACAUCUCAAGGUCUGUUCAGUGCACGAUUUGAUUACCGCGAUCGUAUUCCCCACUCCGAGCGCCUUGUGGGCCCUGGCUAUGCCACCGAGACGUGAGGGAGAUAACAGAACCCAGUCGCCUGUUGGAAGCUGCUCCUCCAACCCCAACAACAUCGAUAUCUGGUUUGCAUAUUCCUUGGUCACCAUGCUUUUGAUAUACCUUAGAGCCUCCGACAAAGACUUAGGCUAUCAUCAACUUCUCCGACCUGUGCAUAUCCCAGCAGC
This 400-nucleotide ribosomal RNA is filed under the name uncultured bacterium. Its description in RNAcentral is "partial 16S ribosomal RNA". The record is from RNAcentral.